RNAcentral lists this unclassified non-coding RNA (183 nucleotides) under rhizosphere metagenome. Its description in RNAcentral is "partial ribosomal RNA internal transcribed spacer region". The record is from RNAcentral.
AAUAAGUGUUUUACUGCACUUUUUAAAAAUCAGUAUUCACCUUGUGUGCAAUGUUUGCUGACGAGUUCGCGUUUUUGCGCGUUCUUGACAGUAUAAUACCAACCCUUUAUUGAAAUUUUUUGUCUGAAGAUUUUUGAAUACAUAAUUCGAAAUACAACUUUUAACAACGGAUCUCUUGGCUCU